GAUUACCGUAUAUACUCGUGUAUAAGUCGAUCUCAUGUAUAAGUCGAGUGCAGUUUUGUGACCAACAAUUGUGAAAUAUGCUAUGCCUCGUGGAUAAGUCGAGGGUAAAUCUUGGGGCUAUGAAAUUCUGUGAUUUUUAUAAUUAUAUACACACACACUCAUACAAACACACUCUGCAUUAUAUAUACACACACUCAUACAAACACACACUCUGC
Molecule: non-coding RNA, 215 nt
Organism: Pelobates cultripes (western spadefoot toad)
Lineage: Eukaryota; Metazoa; Chordata; Amphibia; Anura; Pelobatidae
Source: the annotation of a GenBank genome assembly